GGACCCGCACAAGCGGUGGAUGAUGUGGAUUAAUUCGAUGCAACGCGAAAACCUUACCUACCCUUGACAUGCCAGGAACUCUGCCGAGAGGUGGAGGUGCCCGAAAGGGAACCUGGACACAGGUGCUGCAUGGCUGUCGUCAGCUCGUGUCGUGAGAUGUUGGGUUAAGUCCCGCAACGAGCGCAACCCUUGUCAUUAAUUGCCAUCAUUUGGUUGGGCACUUUAAUGAGACUGCCGGUGACAAACCGGAGGAAGGUGGGGAUGACGUCAAGUCCUCAUGGCCCUUAUGGGUAGGGCCUCACACGUCAUACAAUGGUCGGUCCAGAGGGUUGCCAACCCGCGAGGGGGAGCCAAUCUCAGAAAGCCGAUCGUAGUCCGGAUUGCAGUCUGCAACUCGACUGCAUGAAGUCGGAAUCGCUAGUAAUCGCGGAUCAGCAUGUCG
Molecule: ribosomal RNA, 442 nt
Filed under: uncultured Pseudomonadota bacterium
Lineage: Bacteria; Pseudomonadati; Pseudomonadota
Description: bacterial SSU rRNA
Rfam family: Bacterial small subunit ribosomal RNA
Source: RNAcentral